RNAcentral lists this unclassified non-coding RNA (524 nucleotides) under Hevea brasiliensis (rubber tree). The record is from RNAcentral. Lineage: Eukaryota; Viridiplantae; Streptophyta; Magnoliopsida; Malpighiales; Euphorbiaceae.
UGAAAUUUGAAUCCAUUUGUUUCUCCAAAUCAUCAUCUCUUCAUUAUGGGACUUUAAAUUUGAAUGCUAAGAUGAAAAUAAAUUGAGAAAUGAGAAGAAUAAAGAGCUUCCAGAAAUUAACACAAACAGAAGAAAAGACAAAUCAGCUGGGUGAGUUCUUGUUGAGCCUCCAAUGGCUAAAUCUGCCAUCCAUGAACUUUCAGGCAGCGGCGUCGUCGUCUGUGCCACCGCCCCGGCAGUUGCCGCCCCCGUUCCGGCCGCCACCGUCCUUGGUGAUGAAUCUGUUGAUGAUUUUAAGCUUGGAGACGAAGGGCAAAAUGUGACGGUAUAAUCGGCGCCGGAGCAAGUGAAAGUGCUGGUGGCGUCAUCGUAGGCGUAGCUAUACGAUCGCGGACAAGCCGAUUUGAAUAUCUCCGAGUAUUUAGACGGCUUACAGGUCGCCGGUGAACCAUACGCGCCACUACAGCAGUAUUCCGGCGUCCCAAACUUCUCACACGCGCUUCUACACGCGCCGCCGUUUCCCG